Molecule: long non-coding RNA, 407 nt
Organism: Populus euphratica (Euphrates poplar)
Lineage: Eukaryota; Viridiplantae; Streptophyta; Magnoliopsida; Malpighiales; Salicaceae
Exons: 2
Source: RefSeq, a predicted model, not a curated record
AGCAUUCAUGUCGAUCUAUCAGAACGCUCGGUCUCUUGGUUUUGAUACGAAGUCGAUGCAAAAAGCUUGCUGUGGGACUGGUGGUGAUCAUAAUUUUAGCCUGAUGAGAAUGUGUGGAGCUCCUGACGUUCCGGUUUGUCCAAACCCUGAUCAGCACAUCAGCUGGGAUGGAGUUCAUUUGACACAAAAGGCUUAUCAACACAUGGCAGCAUGGCUUAUCAACGAUAUCUUUCCAAAGCUUCACUGCAGUGCUUGAUGUGAAAGUUCUCUUUUCACCAAGAGAUGGACUUGAUAUCAUGAAGCUCUUAAUUUUGUCUACAAUUAAGCAUGUAAAAAUAUUGUUGUCUUUGAAUUAAAAAGGGGCCUCACAAGGUUGCUUGCAGCUCUAAUUAUUCAUGUUUCAAAUC